UGAGCCAGGCUGACUCCAUGACAGGCUGC
Molecule: non-coding RNA, 29 nt
Filed under: Mus musculus (house mouse)
Lineage: Eukaryota; Metazoa; Chordata; Mammalia; Rodentia; Muridae
Source: RNAcentral